GUAAAUAAUUAAGGGCGUAUGGUGGAUGCCUAGGCUCUCAGAGGCGAAGAAGGACGUGAUAAGCUGCGAAAAGCUCCGUUUAGGUGCAAAUAACCUUUGAUGCGGAGAUCUCCGAAUGGGAUAACCCAAUAUGUUGAAGACAUAUUAUACCGUAAGGUAGGCAAACGCAGGGAACUGAAACAUCUAAGUACCUGCAGGAGAAGAAAACAAACGUGAUUCCCCCAGUAGCGGCGAGCGACCGGGGAAAAGCCCAAACCGUUAUUGUUUCGGCAUUAACGGGGUAGUAGGACUGCAAGCUUGAUGAAAUAAAUGAAAUGGAACACCUUGGAAAAUGUGAUCACAGAGGGUGAUAAUCCCGUACAUGCAAGUUUAUGAAUCAUAGCAGACUCCUGAGUAAGUCGGGACACGUGUAAUCCUGACCGAAUCCGCCGGGACCAUCCGGCAAGGCUAAAUACUCCUGAGAGACCGAUAGUGAACCAGUACCGUGAGGGAAAGGUGAAAAGCACUUCGAACAGAAGAGUGAAAUAGUCCCUGAACCCAUACGCCUACAAGCAGUCGGAGCCGCUUCGUGCGGUGACGGCGUGCCUUUUGCAUAAUGAGCCUACGAGUUACUCAUCACCAGCGAGGUUAAGUACUUCAGGUACGUAAGCCGAAGCGAAAGCGAGUCUGAAUAGGGCGUCAAGUUGGUGGUGGUAGACGCGAAACCUUAGUGAUCUACCCAUGGGCAGGGUGAAGGUUUGGUAACACAAACUGGAGGCCCGAACCGGUAAACGUUGAAAAGUUUUCGGAUGACCUGUGGGUAGGGGUGAAAGGCCAAUCAAACUGGGAAAUAGCUCGUACUCUCCGAAAUGCAUUUAGGUGCAGCCUCUGUUGUUUUGUUCUAGAGGUAGAGCUACUGAUUGGAUGCGAGGGCUUCACCGCCUAUCAAAUCCGGCCAAACUCCGAAUGCUAGAACAUGAAGACAGGGAGUGAGCCAGCGGGUGCUAAGGUCCGUUGACGAAAGAGGGAGAACUCAGACCAUCAGCUAAGGUCCCCAAUUGUAUGCUAAGUUGGAAUAAAAACGGGGUGGGACUGCUUAGACAGCUAGGAUGUUGGCUUGGAAGCAGCCAUUCAUUUAAAGAGUGCGUAACAGCUCACUAGUCGAGCGGUCCUGCAUGGAUAAUACGCGGGCAUAAGCAUAUAACCGAAGCUAUGGGAUUGUAGAUGAUACAAUCGGUAGGAGAGCAUUCCAUUCAGCGUAGAAGCAGUACCGUGAGGUAUUGUGGAGCGGAUGGAAAAGCAAAUGUAGGCAUAAGUAACGAUAAUGCGGGUGAGAACCCCGCACGCCGAAAGAUCAAGGAUUCCCCGGCAAUGUCAAUCAUCCGGGGGUAAGUCGGAUCCUAAGGGUAAGCCGAGUGGCGAUCCCGAUGGCAAACAGGUUAAUAUUCCUGUACUGAUCAUAACUGCGAUGCAGCGACGCAGAGGUGACACUGCUGCGUACUGACGGAAUAGUACGUUGAAACCCGUAUUCUUUGAUACCGGUAGUGAAGCACGCCGGUAGAGAUGAAAGGUGAUAGUACCGCAAUGCUUCGGUUGCGCGGAUAAUGCAGGUAAGCUGACUGCCAAGAAAACCUGCUAAGCUUCAGGUAAUGAUCAUCCGUACUGUAAACGGACACACGUGAUCAGGUAGAAAAUACUAAGGCGCUCGAGAGAUUCAUGGUUAAGGAACUAGGCAAAAUGGUCCUGUAACUUCGGGAUAAAGGACGCUCUUGUGAAAGAGCCGCAGAUAAUAGGCCCAGGCGACUGUUUACCAAAAACACAUGGCUAUGCUAAUUCGCAAGAAGAUGUAUAUGGCCUGACACCUGCCCGGUGCCGGAAGGUUAAGAGGAGAGCUCAGAGGCAACUCGAAGGUUUGAAUUGAAGCCCCGGUAAACGGCGGCCGUAACUAUAACGGUCCUAAGGUAGCGAAAUUCCUUGUCGGGUAAGUUCCGACCUG
This 1975-nucleotide ribosomal RNA is filed under the name human gut metagenome. RNAcentral describes it as "bacterial LSU rRNA". It matches the Rfam family "Bacterial large subunit ribosomal RNA", at positions 1 to 1990 of the family's 2925-position model. The record is from RNAcentral.